AGCGUAGGUGGCCUAACAUGUCAACUGUGAAAACUCGGAGCUCAACUCCGGACUUGCAGUUGAAACUGGUAGGCUUGAGGACGGUAGAGGAAGACGGAACUGCCAGUGUAGGGGUAAAAUCCUUAGAUAUUGGCAGGAACGCCGGUGACGAAGGUGGUUUUCUGGCCGGUUCUGACACUGAUGCUCGAAAGCCAGGGGAGCGAACGG
RNAcentral lists this ribosomal RNA (207 nucleotides) under uncultured Mesotoga sp. RNAcentral describes it as "partial 16S ribosomal RNA". It matches the Rfam family "Bacterial small subunit ribosomal RNA", at positions 568 to 775 of the family's 1533-position model. Lineage: Bacteria; Thermotogati; Thermotogota; Thermotogae; Kosmotogales; Kosmotogaceae. The record is from RNAcentral.